AAGGUUUUAAGUUAAUAAAACUAAUAGCCUUCAAAGCUGUAAAUAUAGACCAAUUCUUUAAACCUUA
RNAcentral lists this transfer RNA (67 nucleotides) under Polystoechotes punctata. Its description in RNAcentral is "tRNA-Trp". It matches the Rfam family "tRNA". From Rfam's summary of the family: Transfer RNA (tRNA) molecules are approximately 80 nucleotides in length. Their secondary structure includes four short double-helical elements and three loops (D, anti-codon, and T loops). Further hydrogen bonds mediate the characteristic L-shaped molecular structure. tRNAs have two regions of fundamental functional importance: the anti-codon, which is responsible for specific mRNA codon recognition, and the 3' end, to which the tRNAs corresponding amino acid is attached (by aminoacyl-tRNA synthetases). tRNAs cope with the degeneracy of the genetic code in two manners: having more than one tRNA (with a specific anti-codon) for a particular amino acid; and 'wobble' base-pairing, i.e. permitting non-standard base-pairing at the 3rd anti-codon position. Lineage: Eukaryota; Metazoa; Arthropoda; Insecta; Neuroptera; Ithonidae. The record is from RNAcentral.